GCUGAUGAAUCAGAGAAACAUCGGAAGCAGCAUGCCGGGGGUUGCCAUCUUCUCGAAACCGAGUUUCGACUUUCGAGGCAGCUCGAAGAAACUGUUUUCGCUAAAACUGCGUUCGUUAGAACGAGCUUCUCUAGACCGCACGCUGUCACGGUUGAUUAAGGCGUAUAAUUAAUAUAAAAAUAUUAAUCGGGAAUUGGUGUAGUCUCGUCUUGCCUUGGUGCUUUGUUUGUGUAAUAAAUUACCUCGCUGAUCAGCCACAUUUUCUCCACCACAUGCGGAUGUGACGGUUGGAAUUGUUUGAACAUAAUGCGAUUACUUCACAUUAAAUUCGAUUGUAUUCUUUUCUUACAGAGAUGAAUUUCGCAUAUGUGCAAUAUUUUACUGGAACAGCACGACCUAAGACUAUCAUCAGUACAUCUGCAAUUAAAACUUUGAACCGAGAAGUGAGGAUGACUACAAGAAGGGUCACCUCUAUGAUGCUUUGUUGACUCCAGACGGAGGGGAGCCGGGCUGUUUUAAAGCCCAAAUACUACUUUUGGCAGACUCAAAGUCGUCGAUCGAGGAGAGGAUCAAAAGGGGCAAGAGGAUCCCUCUACCUAAAGUCCUUGACCAGGUUGUUGAGCACAGCAGUUCGGAAGACGACCAAGCAGCUCUUCGGGUCGAAAUG
Ixodes scapularis (black-legged tick) is the source of this 667-nucleotide long non-coding RNA. RefSeq lists it as uncharacterized. The record is from RefSeq and is a predicted model, not a curated record. The transcript is spliced from 2 exons. Lineage: Eukaryota; Metazoa; Arthropoda; Arachnida; Ixodida; Ixodidae.